UUCUUUAGUCUGAAAAAUAUAGUAAUAGAUUUUAUUGUUUUUAAACUGUAGAUAUUAAGGUACUCAUGGUCAACUAGUAUCGCUUGCAAAUAGAAGUUCCAAAAGAAGUUACUGUCAAGGUCUGCAGAUUUUUGGGUGAACCUCAAUUACAUAUUGAGGUUGAACUCUUAAAGAUGCUUCUGAAUUUAUCUCACAGAUCAUGAUGGUGAAAGAUGUGCUGAUUUCUGCAUGCCAGCGUUUGAUGGAGGUGUACGUAAAAUGGAAAGCGUCCACAACCAAUGCUUCCACAACUGUUGAUCUUCUGGUCUCUCUGGUAUUGCUAUUAAAAUAAAAUAUAAUAAUAAUAACAAUUAUGAUACAGCAAAUAGAAGGACAUUAGUCUUUGUGUGGCUACUUAAAUCAUUAUUCUUCCAAUAAUAUGCUGAGUAUUGUUUGAUAACAAUAUUUUCUUAUUUUUACCACAUGGAUUUGGCUUGGCUUGGCUUCCUUAUCACAUUUAAUGCAAUUAAUCUCUCACGUAUAUGAAAAAAAUAAAUAAAAAGAGUUAAUAAUCAAUAAUAAAGAUUUCAAUGUAAAAUUCCGAAUCAAAAACCAUUUCUAAGUGUUUUCAGGAAAUAAUCUACAUCUUUUAAGAUUUAUU
This is a long non-coding RNA of Ziziphus jujuba (common jujube), 640 nucleotides long. RefSeq lists it as uncharacterized. The transcript is spliced from 3 exons. The record is from RefSeq and is a predicted model, not a curated record. NCBI's taxonomy places the organism in Eukaryota, Viridiplantae, Streptophyta, Magnoliopsida, Rosales, Rhamnaceae.